This 253-nucleotide ribosomal RNA is filed under the name uncultured bacterium. RNAcentral describes it as "partial 16S ribosomal RNA". It matches the Rfam family "Bacterial small subunit ribosomal RNA", at positions 524 to 776 of the family's 1533-position model. The record is from RNAcentral.
UACGUAGGGUGCAAGCGUUGUCCGGAAUUAUUGGGCGUAAAGAGCUCGUAGGCGGUUUGUCGCGUCGAAUGUGAAAACCCGGGGCUCAACCCCGGGCCUGCAUUCGAUACGGGCAGACUAGAGUUCGGUAGGGGAGUCUGGAAUUCCUGGUGUAGCGGUGAAAUGCGCAGAGAUCGGGAGGAACACCCGUAGCGAAGGCGGCACUCUGGGCCGGUACUGACGCUCAGGAGCGAAAGCGUGGGGAGCGAACAGG